UCCGGUUUAUCACCGGCAGUCUCCUUAAAGUGCCCAGCUCGACCUGAUGGCAACUAAGGACAAGGGUUGCGCUCGUUACGGGACUUAACCCAACAUCUCACGACACGAGCUGACGACAGCCAUGCAGCACCUGUCUCACGGUUCCCGAAGGCACCCCGACAUCUCUGCCAGGUUCCGUGGAUUCAAAGGUAGGUAAGGUUCUUCGCGUUGCAUCGAAUUAAACCACAUACUCCACCGCUUGUGCGGGCCCCCGUCAAUUUCUUUGAGUUUUAACCUUGCGGCCGUACUCCCCAGGCGGAGAACUUAUCGCGUUAGCUUCGAUACUAGAAGGUCAUGCCUUCUAACAUCUAGUUCUCAUCGUUUACAGCAUGGACUAC
Molecule: unclassified non-coding RNA, 377 nt
Filed under: uncultured Gammaproteobacteria bacterium
Lineage: Bacteria; Pseudomonadati; Pseudomonadota; Gammaproteobacteria
Description: contains 16S-23S intergenic spacer region
Source: RNAcentral